CAGGACUCGUAAGACUCCCGUAAACCACUGUGAACUUACCUACAACCCGUUGCCUCGGCGGGUGCUCCGGGCGCGUCUUCGGGCGCUCCGGGGCGCUCCAGCCCGCCGGCGGCCCCUAAACUCUGUCUCUGUAACGUUGGCAUCUCCGAGCAGACUAUAAACGAGUCA
This 168-nucleotide unclassified non-coding RNA is filed under the name soil metagenome. RNAcentral describes it as "partial internal transcribed spacer 1". The record is from RNAcentral.